CAAUCCUUAAGUUACUGAAACUGAAAAGGCAUGAAUUUUCAUGUCCUCUAUAGACUGGAAAGGUUUUCUGAGUCUAAUUCUAAUAAAAGGAUAAAAUUCUCACAACAGUACUCAAUUCUUCUCAGUAAAUGGCUGAGAAAGAACUGAACUCCUUUACCAGACAAGCAAUCUGUUAAUUACUCAUAAAGGUCACAACUGAAUCACACAAGAAUUUAAUUUGUCUGUGUAACAGUGCUCUAUGUUUUCCUCAAACCCUAUGAUUUCAGAGAACCAGAAUUUCCCACUACCUCAAAACACUAGGUUGACCUCAAAAACAAGCCUGGAAAAAAUAUCCUUGCAAACAUUAAAAAAUGAAACACGAACAACUACCAAAUGAUGUUUGACAUUUAAGAAUGACCUUUGUGUAGCAAAUAAAGUCAUCUUCCAAAAAGCCAAUGUUCAAACUUUCCCAGAAAUAAUUUGCAAAUGAAAAGAGAUCACCAGCUAAAAAAGCAAUUACUAGCCAUAAACCUUUCCUUUUUUGCAAACACCAUUGAAAUUAGUGAAGUUAAAUGUCCAGAUUAAGUAGAAAUGCUCCAUCAGUUCUCUCAUAACUUUUUGGACAUUGCUGAAUCAGUUUUGAUAACUCUACUGAAUGAACAUUUUAAGUUUUAAAUCUCCUUCUUUUGCAGCCUCCCUUAUGGAUGGAGAGAUCCUAUGUUAGCAUCCACAGUGUCUCACUAUAUUUAGUGACUUAGACAUCUAAACAAAGACAGGUUUGCUGUCUCUUGACUCCAGGUUUUGCCUUCCAAAUCUCACACUGAUUCUAUAAAAAACAAUCUCCAGGCUUUAAGCAGAAGAUUACGUGGAAAAGCAUUUAAAUCCCACCCUGAGACCAGCCAGUAAGUGAUAUGAACAAAUACAUUAACAGAAUUAACAUAAAGUGAUCUUAUGAACUUCAACUCAGAAUCUCAUGUAUGUCAAUAAAUCCUUUCUUUUGUGCUUAAGUGAGGAUACCAACAUUUCUUCAGCACCUACUGUGUCACUACCCUUUGGUAGAAGAAAUUCGCUACCUCAUUUAUUUAUGUGUGAAAUAAAAAUUCUUACUUCAUCAUCCUAUGGAGAGGUGAGGAAAUGAAGGAUAAUGUAAAAAUAUCCAGUUACACUAGAAAUAAAAAAGCUGAAAUUGAAAAUUAGGUAUGUCUGUGUUCAAAGCCAAUGUUCUCUCUUUUACAAUACUAAAAGUAAAUGCACAAAGGUAGGGUAUCCUUCACCCAUAUAAAAGUAAUUCAAACUCAUUACAGAAAAAAUAUGUGUAUCCUUACUCCACUACCAAAAAAUUCUUACUACCAGUGUUUUCUGUUUUAGACUCAUUUGGGGGGAGUGGCAUAUGUCAUAAUAUGUUAUGAUGCCCCCUUGAGAACUUGUGCCACGAGUUAACUAGUGCAAAGAUUUCACUGUUGAGGACAAAUUUACUGAAUUAAAAUCUCCAAUGUCUCCUAGCGACAGAAAGGCAACUUUGACCAUUGAGAGUCAUCCCAAGUUUGAAGACAAUCAAAGAACUGCUGUGAAGCAAGGAGACAUGGGGGUGAUCACGAUUUCUGCUCAGUGCUGUGGAAUGAUGAGGUUGAAGAUGGAGGUCAUGGACCAGCCUGCAGCAGGUAGUCUCUGAAGUGGGACACCUGUAAUUGUCUGCUUGGCCAACCAAGCAGAAAGGGAAGCCUGCUAGAGUUCUCAAUGCCAUUGUGAUUAAAAGAGAUCACAGCCUAUUUUGCUGCAAAAUACAUCUAUUCACAAGUAGCCUUAUAGUUUUAGUCUACAAUACAGAGUGUUUUUGCUCAAUUCUUAUGGACAGGAAAUGGAGAGAUGCCAUAUAGUGAGGAACAGGGUUAACUUAUUAAUUACUCUUAAAGUAAUUCUGAGAUUACUUUAAUUCUGAGAUCACAUGAGCUGGAGAAAGGAUAAGAGUAGCAUUAACAAAGUAAAUCCAGAGACUAACUACAAAACCUUUAUAUAUGUAUCCUAAAUGUUUGGGUUUUUUUUGUCUUUAGGAAUAGAGUUCUAAUAAACACAACAAUAUUUUGGACCUAUUUGGGACUAUUAAUAAAGAUAUAAUUCUUGCAUAAUGACACUACACAUUGGCCAGAUAAUAUAAAAUAUGAGAGACAGUCUCAAUGACCUAAACAUUCAUUUUCUUCAUUAUGAUGGCAUUAAUAUGAGGUGUCUCAUAUUGGUGGUCUAAAAACAGUGGUCAUAUCCAUCUUUAUAAAUGGAGUAAAAUUCAGUUCCCACGUAACAUCAUCAGUUUUAUAAACAUGCCUCACUUUAAAUUGAGAGGGAAGAAAGACUGACAUUCAUAAUAGUCCUAACACUGCUGAAGUGAUAGAAAUCACAAUAGAACUUCAUUAGGUUAGGUGUUUAGAGAAGGAAUGACAUUGGGGAUUAGUUUCAGUAUUUUAAACAGGGAGAGAUGUGAAAAACAGGAUGUCAAAACAGAGGGUCUCUGGAUGUCCAUGGUUGAAAGUAUUUCCAAGGAAACACCUUAAAUGUUUAUCAAUAAGCAAUAACUAAAUAAACUAGGAUACAGACAAAAUACACAAUAUUUUGCAAGAUAUAAAGUAAGAAGCAGAUUUAUGUUCAGCAGUAUUUAUUGGCUUGGAAGGAACUCGAAGGCACACUGUCACGUGAAUAAAGUCUCAGAUAACUUACAGCGGA
Felis catus (domestic cat) is the source of this 2694-nucleotide long non-coding RNA. RefSeq lists it as uncharacterized. The transcript has 2 exons. NCBI's taxonomy places the organism in Eukaryota, Metazoa, Chordata, Mammalia, Carnivora, Felidae. The record is from RefSeq and is a predicted model, not a curated record.